RNAcentral lists this ribosomal RNA (541 nucleotides) under uncultured bacterium. RNAcentral's name for it is "bacterial SSU rRNA". It matches the Rfam family "Bacterial small subunit ribosomal RNA", at positions 777 to 1313 of the family's 1533-position model. The record is from RNAcentral.
AAUAGAUACCCUGGUAGUCCAUGCCGUAAACGUUGGGAACUAGAUGUAGGGCCUGUUCCGACGGGUUUCGUGUGUCGUAGCUAACGCAUUAAGUUCCCCGCCUGGGGAGUACGGCCGCAAGGCUAAAACUCAAAGGAAUUGACGGGGGCCCGCACAAGCGGCGGAGCAUGCGGAUUAAUUCGAUGCAACGCGAAGAACCUUACCAAGGCCUGACAUAUAGAAGAACGCGCCAGAAAUGGUGAACUCUUUGGGCACUUCUAUACAGGUGGUGCAUGGUUGUCGUCAGCUCGUGUCGUGAGAUGUUCGGUUAAGUCUGGCAACGAGCGCAACCCUCGUCCUAUGUUGCCAGCGGGUUAUGCCGGGGACUCAUGGGAUACUGCCGUGGUCAACACGGAGGAAGGUGGGGAUGACGUCAAAUCAUCAUGCCCCUUAUGUCUUGGGCUUCACGCAUGCUACAAUGGCCGGUACAGAGGGUUGCGAUACCGCGAGGUGGAGCGAAUCCCAAAAAGCCGGUCUCAGUUCGGAUUGGGGUCUGCAACCG